RNAcentral lists this long non-coding RNA (399 nucleotides) under Olea europaea (common olive). Its description in RNAcentral is "long non-coding RNA (OEUR_LNC000266)". The record is from RNAcentral. Lineage: Eukaryota; Viridiplantae; Streptophyta; Magnoliopsida; Lamiales; Oleaceae.
CACAACACAAAAUGCAAACUCGAGUCCAAACACAGAUAAUGAAACCUGAUAAUCCGAAGAAAACCAAAAUUCGACUAAUUAGCACUAAAUUCGGGACCAAAGUAGAAAAACAAAUAAUAUGAUUUCAAGCAAUUACGACAAUGGAGAGCAACCUCACGUAUGUAGGCGCCGAAGAGCUUAUUGCAAAGAGGGCAUCAAUUAAAGAAUAUCACAGAAAUCUGUAGAUGAAGCCGAAAUUUCUUGAUAAUCGAUGUAUUGUGCAUCAAUUGAAGAAAUUAGGUUUGGGCAGAUUAAGCAACUCUCUCAAGGGGGAGGGAAUUAAAUAAUUUUGGAGGAAUAUUUUUUGGAGGCAAAGAAGAAAGGGAAUGAAAUUUUGGGAGAAUAUUUUGAUGACUAAUU